GUUGGUGUAGCUCAUUGGGAGAGUACAUGCUUUGUGUGUAUGAUGUCCUGGGUUCAAUCCCCUGCAUCUUGG
Molecule: non-coding RNA, 72 nt
Organism: Dallia pectoralis (Alaska blackfish)
Lineage: Eukaryota; Metazoa; Chordata; Actinopteri; Esociformes; Umbridae
Source: the annotation of a GenBank genome assembly